UAGCUCUUGCUCCAUCCACGCGUUCGUCGGCCUGACCCGCUAUGCAUGGCGCGGAGAAAAACAGGUGCCCAUGCUGCUUCAUCAAUGGUCGCAGACAGCCGUUCAAAGCGGUGCGCAGGUUGGGGAUCGUUCUGUGCAUGCUUCGAAGAAAGCAGCGCUCACAGGUACGGUGCGUGCAUCUAGAGGGGACGGCAUUUCAGCUGGUGCAGCGCAAGUGGCAUAGCCUGACUGGCUGCAAGCGACCCGUGCCCAAAAUGUCAGACUAUAGAUGCGCCUUUGUGCCACCGACGCUCGCCGCAGGAACAAGAGCUGCGCUCUAAAAUGCAUUUGCGAAACACACCACAUCCUGCUGCAGUGUUGGUCUCCGUUGUAUUAUCGUUGCUGCACUGGCGUCCAAACACGUAUCGAAACAAUGCUUUCCUUUGAAUAAUAGCCAUGAAUCUCAAAGGCCAUGCUUUUUUGGUACUGUGAGCGCCGAUAAACGUCAUAGCUGCCAUUUUUUUAGACAUUACCUGGUGUUGCUUCUCGGUAGAACACCUCGUAGAGAAUGAGCAUAGCCUCUAGGACAUUAUAUGAAAGGAGAAAGAAAAAUAAAUAACACGCAGUGCCACGCCCAUGUUCUUAUCUUGACGGUACUUAGAGAGGGAGAAAACCAACCUGCAGCAGAGGCGUUGGCCGAGCCUGGCCUCGCGCAAGUGCAUCUCUCUCCAUUCGGGCCUAAACAAUGGGCCACAGAUGGAAAGAGCAAAGCAAUAAGGCCAGCACAGUGAAACCAGCAUCGCCAGCAUGCUCUUGCGCACUAGCACUCUCCCCAUCCACGAUGGCGUGAAGUUCGAAUUAUCGGUGGCAGUGCGGAUUGCAGGGUUAAUUAGCGGGAUGCAUUACAUAUUGCUUUCAGUACACUUUUGGACGCACCGUGGUGGCCACUUCAAGUUACCCGAAAUGUUGAAUUAACGAGUGGUGAAUGAACGAGCUUUUACUGUAUAUUGUCACUAGAAAGACGAGUUGCAUGGUCCUGUAAGCACCUUGGGACCAGGGUUGGAGUCGAGCAUAAGGUACCCUAUUUUCCUGAAUCUAAUGCGCACCUUUCUUCCGCGAAAAUGGGUCUGAAAAUUGCCUUUAUGUUACAGUCGAAUACUAAGCCAAAAGCGCGUUUGCUUCAUUGGCAACAGGCUACCAUCAUAGCCAUCGAACACAGUGUCAUCGUCAUCACGAAAUGGCAACAGAGCAUGAUUUUGUGAAGGUUGCUGUCGGUAUCACUUAGUGCUCGACUAUAAUCUUGUGUGGUAUUUUUGGCCAAUAACUUUUGGACAUAGUAUCACUUGUGCAAAAUUUUGUGCGGCUCAGCACUCGACGCGCUGGUGUAAUUGGCUGCCAGUGUUUCUGGUGCUGUGCCAAGCUCACUCUCUGCACAUGGUGCCAGGAAUGCUGUUGGUAGCAUACUUUUGACAAGUCUGGUGGAUAGUCUCGUGAAAGUAACACUAGUAUCUCUAAAACCGAUCACUCGAGAUUACCGUGUCUAUAUGCUUGGUAUUCGUGGCCAAUGGCAAAGAUGACGGGCCACUUUCAUUGCUAAAGCUCAUUUAA
This 1587-nucleotide long non-coding RNA is filed under the name Dermacentor andersoni. Its description in RNAcentral is "uncharacterized LOC126538407". The record is from RNAcentral. Lineage: Eukaryota; Metazoa; Arthropoda; Arachnida; Ixodida; Ixodidae.